RNAcentral lists this ribosomal RNA (253 nucleotides) under uncultured bacterium. RNAcentral's name for it is "partial 16S ribosomal RNA". It matches the Rfam family "Bacterial small subunit ribosomal RNA", at positions 524 to 776 of the family's 1533-position model. The record is from RNAcentral.
UACGUAGGGGGCAAGCGUUGUCCGGAAUCAUUGGGCGUAAAGCGCGCGUAGGCGGCCCGAUAAGUCCGCUGUGAAAGUCAAAGGCUCAACCUUUGAAAGCCGGUGGAUACUGUGAGGCUAGAGUACGGAAGAGGCGAGUGGAAUUCCUGGUGUAGCGGUGGAAUGCGCAGAUAUCAGGAGGAACACCAAUAGCGAAGGCAGCUCGCUGGGACGUUACUGACACUGAGGCGCGAAAGCGUGGGGAGCGAACAGG